GAGCUUCACCAGCUGGAGACAGCAUUGGCAAGGAGAGCUUCCAAUAGGAUAUGAGCGCUGAUGCUUCUCAUCAAAACCCUGCGCCUGAGCCUGACGAUCGGAACCAUCAGAACGCAAGGAGGCAAAGGUCUGAUGGAUCAAAGGGGACCCACCGGUUUGAUGCUAACCUACUGGAGGAAGGGAGGUCGUCUCGUCCGCUCAGAGGGAGCCAUUAUGAUUCUCAUAUUAAAGUCAUGGAAACUGAGUCCCGGAGAGUUAAGGAACCUGCCCACGUCUACAGAGAUGAGGUUGAAACAGAACCCAAAGCAAGGGGGAAGUCACACGGAGGAGUGCAGCUGGGAGACCAUCGGCUAACACCUUGGUGAGCCUUUUUCUGUGUGCCCUCAGUGUUCUGAAAUCGUCCAUGCAUUUAACUCAGUCCACCCUCCCUUUCUAAAAGCUUUGUACUUUGUGAUAAAUCACUUCCAUGAAUACCAGUGGGAAGGAACAAAGGGGCCCUCAAACACACACCUACAGAAAUGUAGGUCCUUUUUUUUUUGGCCUCGCCUGUGCUAUGUGGAAGUUCCCAGGCCAGGGACCGAACCUGUGCCACAUCAGCGAUCCAAGCAGCUGCAAUGACAAUACCAGAUUCUUAACCCACAGUGCCACAAGAGAACUCUGGUGCAGUCUCCUUUGAAGGCAAUUUGGCAACAUCUAUUGAAAUUUAAAAUUCACAUUGUGUUUACACCCAGAAAUUCCACUUCUAAGUAUUAAACUGGACCAAGAAGUAUGUACAGAGAUAUUCAUGGUAGCAAGAUCCGUAAUAGCCAAGGAUUAGAAACAUCCUAAAUAUUUAUCAUUAGGAAUGCUAGGGGAAUGUUAAAAAAUAGAGCAAAUGGGGAGUUCCCAUCGUGGCGCAGCAGAAACGGAUCCGACUAGGAACCAUGAGGUUGCAGGUUCGAUCCCUGGCCUUGCUCAGUGGGUUAAGGAUCCGGCAUUGCCGUGAGCUGUGGUGUAGGUCACAGACGAGGCUCAGAUCUGGCGUUGCUGUGGCUGUGGUGUAGGCUGGUAGUCGUAGCUCCAAUUAGUCCCCUAGCCUAGGAACCUCCAUAUGCUGUAGGUGCGCCCCUAAAAAGCCAAAAAAAAACAACCCCCAACAUAGUUAUAGAUAUAGAGAACAGGUGGUUGCCAGAGAGGAGGAAGUUGUUGGGGAGGAAAAAAAUAAGUGAGGGAGAUUAAGAGGUACAAACUUCCAGUUGCAAAAUAAAUGAGUCACAUGUAUGAAAUGAACA
This 1271-nucleotide long non-coding RNA is filed under the name Sus scrofa (pig). RNAcentral's name for it is "lncRNA (ENSSSCG00040069100.1)". Lineage: Eukaryota; Metazoa; Chordata; Mammalia; Artiodactyla; Suidae. The record is from RNAcentral.